This 463-nucleotide ribosomal RNA is filed under the name uncultured bacterium. RNAcentral's name for it is "bacterial SSU rRNA". It matches the Rfam family "Bacterial small subunit ribosomal RNA", at positions 33 to 507 of the family's 1533-position model. The record is from RNAcentral.
GACGACGCUGGCGGCGUGCCUAACACAUGCAAGUCGAGCGAGUGAAUCUCCUUCGGGAGUGAAGCUAGCGGCGGACGGGUGAGUAACACGUGGGCAACCUGCCUCAUAGAGGGGAAUAGCCUUUCGAAAGGAAGAUUAAUACCGCAUAAGAUUGUAGCUUCGCAUGAAGUAGCAAUUAAAGGAGCAAUCCGCUAUGAGAUGGGCCCGCGGCGCAUUAGCUAGUUGGUGAGGUAACGGCUCACCAAGGCGACGAUGCGUAGCCGACCUGAGAGGGUGAUCGGCCACAUUGGGACUGAGACACGGCCCAGACUCCUACGGGAGGCAGCAGUGGGGAAUAUUGCACAAUGGGGGAAACCCUGAUGCAGCAACGCCGCGUGAGUGAUGACGGCCUUCGGGUUGUAAAGCUCUGUCUUCAGGGACGAUAAUGACGGUACUUGAGGAGGAAGCCCCGGCUAACUACGUG